RNAcentral lists this ribosomal RNA (553 nucleotides) under uncultured bacterium. Its description in RNAcentral is "bacterial SSU rRNA". It matches the Rfam family "Bacterial small subunit ribosomal RNA", at positions 777 to 1325 of the family's 1533-position model. The record is from RNAcentral.
AAUAGAUACCCGGGUAGUCCACGCCGUAAACGAUGAGUGCUAAGUGUUGGGGGGGUUUCCGCCCCCUCAGUGCUGCAGCUAACGCAUUAAGCACUCCGCCUGGGGAGUACGGUCGCAAGACUGAAACUCAAAGGAAUUGACGGGGGCCCGCACAAGCGGUGGAGCAUGUGGUUUAAUUCGAAGCAACGCGAAGAACCUUACCAGGUCUUGACAUCCCGGUGACCACUAUGGAGACAUAGUUUCCCCUUCGGGGGCAACGGUGACAGGUGGUGCAUGGUUGUCGUCAGCUCGUGUCGUGAGAUGUUGGGUUAAGUCCCGCAACGAGCGCAACCCUUAUUCUUAGUUGCCAUCAUUCAGUUGGGCACUCUAAGGAGACUGCCGGUGAUAAACCGGAGGAAGGUGGGGAUGACGUCAAAUCAUCAUGCCCCUUAUGACCUGGGCUACACACGUGCUACAAUGGACGGUACAAACGGUUGCCAACCCGCGAGGGGGAGCUAAUCCGAUAAAACCGUUCUCAGUUCGGAUUGUAGGCUGCAACUCGCCUACAUGAACG